AGGACGAACGCUGGCGGCGUGCUUAACACAUGCAAGUCGAGCGAUGAAGCUCUUCGGAAGUGGAUUAGCGGCGGACGGGUGAGUAACACGUGGGUAACCUGCCUCAUAGAGGGGAAUAGCCUUCCGAAAGGAAGAUUAAUACCGCAUAAGAUUGUAAUAUCGCAUGAUAUAGCAAUUAAAGGAGUAAUCCGCUAUGAGAUGGACCCGCGUCGCAUUAGCUAGUUGGUGAGGUAACGGCUCACCAAGGCGACGAUGCGUAGCCGACCUGAGAGGGUGAUCGGCCACAUUGGGACUGAGACACGGCCCAGACUCCUACGGGAGGCAGCAGUGGGGAAUAUUGCACAAUGGGGGAAACCCUGAUGCAGCCAACGCCGCGUGAGUGAUGACGGUCUUCGGAUUGUAAAGCUCUGUCUUCAGGGACGAUAAUGACGGUACCUGAGGAGGAAGCCACGGCUAACUACGUGCCAGCCGCUGC
RNAcentral lists this ribosomal RNA (475 nucleotides) under uncultured bacterium. Its description in RNAcentral is "bacterial SSU rRNA". It matches the Rfam family "Bacterial small subunit ribosomal RNA", at positions 26 to 518 of the family's 1533-position model. The record is from RNAcentral.